This 105-nucleotide small nucleolar RNA is filed under the name Aspergillus clavatus NRRL 1. RNAcentral's name for it is "A. fumigatus snoRNA Afu_190". It matches the Rfam family "A. fumigatus snoRNA Afu_190". The record is from Rfam by way of RNAcentral. Lineage: Eukaryota; Fungi; Ascomycota; Eurotiomycetes; Eurotiales; Aspergillaceae.
ACAUGAUGAGAUAUCAUAGCUGGCACCAGUCAGACGGGAGUGAUGAUUCAUCAUUUCCCACUGCUGAUUAGCUGUGGUCCGGGAACGCUACCCGAGAUCCCUGAC